CUCACCUCCCACUAUAUCCCGUGGGUUAUCCUAUCACUACCUCGGUAUCUAUCUUCAAAACAAGAACAAACCUACCCCAAUCACACCCGGAAAAUUCAAGGAAAUAUCGUCGCAGACUCUGAAACUCUCUUCCGAAUAGAUCAGAUCCAAAACAUCUGAUUGGUCUAAUCAAGGUUCUUGUUCAAAGAUCCGACUGUUAGGUCACUUGGAAUGGAAUUCAUUUAAUAAUGAUCCAAAUAAUUCGGUUUUUUCAUGGACGGUUCAUGUGAAAAGAUCUUCGCUGAAGUGAUAGUUUUUCCUGGAGGUUGCCUCAUGGGCAGUAAAAUCAUCGGCAUGAGUCGUCCACAUGAACCACACCAGCCCUUCUUCCCUUUUGGGAAUCCUUUCCGAAUGUUAUCAUCAUCGCAUCUGUCUCGAAAGCUUCUUAUACUAUCAAAGACUUUUGAGGAAACCUUGGCAGAGAGGCUGAGAAGGCUUAAUCCCAAAGACAAGGGUGAAAUUCUCAGCUUUUCAUGGAUGAAAUUAGCAAUGGAGUCACUUUGUGAAACACAUAACGACAUAAAAACCCUCAUAACAGAUCUUGAGCUCCCUGUGUGUGACUGGGAUGAGAAAUGGUUAGAUUUGUACUUGGACGUCAGUGUGAAUUUACUUGAUGUAUGCAUUGCUUUUAGCUCUGAGCUCUCACGGUUGAACCAGGGAAAUCUCUUGCUUCAGUGUUUGCUACACAAUUUCGAAUCCAACUCCUCAAAGCUGUUUAUCCGGGCCCGAUCUUCACUUGAUGGCUGGCGACAGCAUGUCAAUUCAAAGAACCCUAGAGUUGAAAACUGUUGCACCAUUUUGGACAAGCUUGUGAAGUCACUGGAUCUUCCCAAGGUUAAGAACUCAGCCAAAGGUAAGGUUUUAAUGAGUGCUCUGUAUGGAGUUAAGGUGGAGACAAUAUUUGUCUGUAGCGUCUUUGCUGCAGCUUUCUCUGGUUCUGGUAAAAAGUUGCUAGAUUUAGAUGUUGCUGACAAAUUUAUAUGGGCACGCGCAUUUACUAGCCUGCAGACUAGUGUGAACGGGGAAAUUAGAAAUAUAUUGUCCAGUGGACGAUUUCCAGUUUUGAAAGAACUUGAAGCAGUUGAUACAAGUGUUAAGAAAUUGUAUCCCACGAUCCAAGAUGGUGUCAACCCUGUUGAAGAGGAAGCAUUCCAGAAUUCUGUUUCAGAUUUGGGAAGGAGAGCCGAGAAACUUUCACAAGGACUAGAUCUUCUUACUAAGGAAGUGGAUAGCUUUUUCCAGUUAGUUUUAACUGGGCGUGAUGCUCUGCUUUCUAAUCUAAGAACAAGUACGGAUUCUGAUGGAAGGCUUGAGGGAAACGGAAUAGAACGAGUUUGAAGUUGAUUAUGUUGGAACUGAACUCAAUCCAAAGUACAGAUGGGUCUGGAAUAGUUUGUCAAUUCAAACUUGAUCAGGAAUCACAGGAAGUUGUCGAUGACUCGAUAUGAUCCCCUGCAAAAUACUAACACUAUCCUGUAGUUAUCAUAUGGAGGAUGAUGGGUGAGGAGUUCCUUCUUCCUGAAUCUCUCUGGGUCAUCAUCAACUUGCCCAGUUUUGGGUGGAAUUGACGGGACCCUGAUCCAAUCUACCACUUGAGGCCCCAGGCAAGAAGCAGCACAAGAAAAUUGUGCUGUUGUAUUUUUUGGUCUCUUGCUUUGUCACAUAGAGCUCAAGGACUGAGGCUUAUGGAUUGUGAAAUGGCUGGGGAGCAAAUCUUUCAAUGCACCCUGCACAAACCUUCACCGCAAAGCAACGCAUGCCAAAUAAAUCUAACCUUCAAACCUUAGUGAUCGAGCCUGGGCUGUAUUACUCGCCCAAACUCUGCUUGAUUUAUGAAAAACUAAGUUGGAGUUUGGCAAGAAACUCGAGUUGUAUUUGAGUACUCAAGUUGAACACGGCUCUACUAAAGAUUUUUUUUUUUCUUUCUA
RNA transcript from Carya illinoinensis, 1967 nucleotides. It is a transcript of the gene named protein BPS1, chloroplastic-like, with no coding region annotated. The transcript has 6 exons. NCBI's taxonomy places the organism in Eukaryota, Viridiplantae, Streptophyta, Magnoliopsida, Fagales, Juglandaceae. The record is from RefSeq and is a predicted model, not a curated record.